This 279-nucleotide ribosomal RNA is filed under the name uncultured Staphylococcus sp. Its description in RNAcentral is "partial 16S ribosomal RNA". It matches the Rfam family "Bacterial small subunit ribosomal RNA", at positions 505 to 784 of the family's 1533-position model. The record is from RNAcentral. Lineage: Bacteria; Bacillati; Bacillota; Bacilli; Caryophanales; Staphylococcaceae.
GUGCCAGCAGCCGCGGUAAUACGUAGGUGGCAAGCGUUAUCCGGAAUUAUUGGGCGUAAAGCGCGCGUAGGCGGUUUUUUAAGUCUGAUGUGAAAGCCCACGGCUCAACCGUGGAGGGUCAUUGGAAACUGGAAAACUUGAGUGCAGAAGAGGAAAGUGGAAUUCCAUGUGUAGCGGUGAAAUGCGCAGAGAUAUGGAGGAACACCAGUGGCGAAGGCGACUUUCUGGUCUGUAACUGACGCUGAUGUGCGAAAGCGUGGGGAUGAACAGGAUUAGAUA